UGGGGAAUAUUGGACAAUGGGGGCAACCCUGAUCCAGCCAUGCCGCGUGUGUGAAGAAGGCCUUCGGGUUGUAAAGCACUUUAAGCGAGGAGGAAGGUUUACUAGCUAAUACCUAGUAGAAUUGACGUUACUCGCAGAAUAAGCACCGGCUAACUCUGUGCCAGCAGCCGCGGUAAUACAGAGGGUGCAAGCGUUAAUCGGAAUUACUGGGCGUAAAGCGCGCGUAGGCGGUAUGUUAAGUCGGAUGUGA
RNAcentral lists this ribosomal RNA (250 nucleotides) under uncultured bacterium. RNAcentral's name for it is "partial 16S ribosomal RNA". It matches the Rfam family "Bacterial small subunit ribosomal RNA", at positions 355 to 597 of the family's 1533-position model. The record is from RNAcentral.